UUUUGGGCAAUGGGCGAAAGCCUGACCCAGCAACGCCGCGUGAGGGAUGAAGUAUUUCGGUAUGUAAACCUCGAAAGAAUGGGAAGAAUAAAUGACGGUACCAUUUAUAAGCUCCGGCUAACUACGUGCCAGCAGCCGCGGUAAUACGUAGGGAGCAAGCGUUGUUCGGAUUUACUGGGCGUAAAGGGCGCGUAGGCGGCGCGGUAAGUCACUUGUGAAAUCUCUGAGCUUAACUCAGAACGGCCAAGUGAUACUGCUGUGCUAGAGUGCGGAAGAGGCAACCGGAAUUCUUGGUGUAGCGGUGAAAUGCGUAGAUAUCAAAAGGAACACCUGAGGCGAAGGCGGGUUGCUGAGC
Molecule: ribosomal RNA, 355 nt
Filed under: uncultured bacterium
Lineage: Bacteria
Description: bacterial SSU rRNA
Rfam family: Bacterial small subunit ribosomal RNA
Source: RNAcentral